UACAUCACCAGGAGCUGAGAAACUAAAACUAUGACACAGCUACAACUCACACUCCUGGAAGUACUUAUGUUUGUCACAUAUAAUGAAGUUGGGCUAAAAUAAACUAUUUAUAACCUUUAUGCCUCUUUAGUUUAUUAUUAUAAAAGCUAUGUAUGACAAAUUUAAUGACAGCAACAUCAACAGAACUUUCAUUAUGUCUUUUAUAUUCAGAUGUCAUCAAUGGGCCAUAGUCAGACAGAGUGUCCAGAUUAUAGAAUCAAUAGAUUCCAUAAUCUAGAAUGGGCAUGCACAAGCAGUCUAAAUAUACAACUAUAUUUCCUACACAUAUAAGCCAGUGUAGUUGAUAACAGAUAUUGCUUUAAGCCUAUAAGAGUACUUAGGCUGUAUAAUGCAGCACAUUAAAUAUUGAUUUGAAUUGAUAUGUUAUGUUUUGUUUGUGUUUGUGAUGCUAAGGUUAUUCAUUUAACUGAAAAAUAUGAAAUUACUCUGUGAAGCACUUUGUUAAACAUCAAUCUGUGCUGAAAGAUAGAAAAGCAGAGCUUCAGUAUCACAGUCAAGGUUUGACUGCAGCUAAAUUAAAAAGUAAAACAAGAUGUGGGGAAAAAAAACAUUUUAGUUGACAGAAAAAAAAUAAAGAAUAAACUUAAAAAGUAAGAAAGAAAAGAAAACCAACCGAACUUUGUGAACUUACAAAACAAAACAAACAAACAAAAAGCAAAGUUACAAAUGAAAUCUUCUUAGUUUUAAUUAUCUUUAUUGGUUUGGUAAAAAUUUGUCGGUGUAACCAGCCUUUACCGAGGCCGGCAUGUUUACAUAACUGUGAGCCAGCUGCCUUUGUAAAGAGCUGUGUUUGUAUUGAAGCAUCCAUUCUGCUUUGCCUAAAUAUUUCCACUGAUAAAGUCUCUCCAUAUAAUCAUAAUUAGAAAGAAUAAACUGUAAGCUAACAAAAAUAAAAAUAAAACAAGCAAACUCACUCUGAAAACUAAGUGAAACUCAACUGCACUGAAAACAAAAACUCACAAAACAAAUAAAAUCAAAACUUAUUAAAAAAUGAAAAUAAAACUACAAAACACAGAACUAAAACCAAAAUAAAUAAACCAAAAUAAACACGCUCAUCAUGUUAAGUGACUUUAUGAAGUGUUUGAAGUGAAAAUUCAGUGAAACAAUAAGCGCACUCCUCAAACACCACGGUGAAAAUAACAUUUAAAAGUAACCAAAUAAAGCAUUAUCUGGUUUUUAAAAAUAUAAAAAUUCCCUACUGUUUAAAAACGUGUAAUUUACACACCUCAUCUACCUUACAAAGCUUUUGUACUACUUUGCCUUUGAUGUUUAAAUAUUUUUCUAAUGUUAUUUUCUUAAAAUCUUCACAUUUUUUAAAUGUAUUAUUUAAAAAUAAUUAAAGUAAGAAAAGUAUGAAAAAAAUUACAAAGUUUGUUCACUGAUUCUUUUUACUAUAAUUCUUUCACUGUUCAGUGAUUAUUCGUUUGAACUAGUGCAUUUUAAUUACUAAUUAUUGAUUACUAUUACAGGC
This is a long non-coding RNA of Astatotilapia calliptera (eastern happy), 1531 nucleotides long. The record is from Ensembl. Lineage: Eukaryota; Metazoa; Chordata; Actinopteri; Cichliformes; Cichlidae.